GAAAUAGCUCAGUUGGGAGAGCGUUACACUGAAGAUCUGAAGGUCCCUGGUUCGAUCCCGGGUAUAUUUU
Molecule: transfer RNA, 70 nt
Filed under: Cordylochernes scorpioides
Lineage: Eukaryota; Metazoa; Arthropoda; Arachnida; Pseudoscorpiones; Chernetidae
Description: tRNA-Phe
Rfam family: tRNA (bases 4-63)
About the family: Transfer RNA (tRNA) molecules are approximately 80 nucleotides in length. Their secondary structure includes four short double-helical elements and three loops (D, anti-codon, and T loops). Further hydrogen bonds mediate the characteristic L-shaped molecular structure. tRNAs have two regions of fundamental functional importance: the anti-codon, which is responsible for specific mRNA codon recognition, and the 3' end, to which the tRNAs corresponding amino acid is attached (by aminoacyl-tRNA synthetases). tRNAs cope with the degeneracy of the genetic code in two manners: having more than one tRNA (with a specific anti-codon) for a particular amino acid; and 'wobble' base-pairing, i.e. permitting non-standard base-pairing at the 3rd anti-codon position.
Source: RNAcentral